UGUCUUCAGGGCGGAGUGAAAUUCUCCACCGGUGGUAUAGUCCACGAGCCAAUUUUGGUUGAUCGGGUGCAAUUCCCGUACCGACGGUAUAGUCCGGAUGAAAGAAGAUG
This 110-nucleotide non-coding RNA is filed under the name pig gut metagenome. Its description in RNAcentral is "FMN riboswitch (RFN element)". It matches the Rfam family "FMN riboswitch aptamer (RFN element)". Rfam says of the family: The RFN element is a highly conserved domain that is found frequently in the 5'-untranslated regions of prokaryotic mRNAs that encode for flavin mononucleotide (FMN) biosynthesis and transport proteins. This element is a metabolite-dependent riboswitch that directly binds FMN in the absence of proteins. The record is from RNAcentral.